Long non-coding RNA from Canis lupus familiaris (dog), 691 nucleotides. RefSeq lists it as uncharacterized. The transcript has 2 exons. Lineage: Eukaryota; Metazoa; Chordata; Mammalia; Carnivora; Canidae. The record is from RefSeq and is a predicted model, not a curated record.
GAUGUGGGACUCGAUGCCAGGACCCCGGGAUCACGACCUGAGCCAAAGGCAGACACUAAACCACUGAGCCACCCAGGGGCCCCCACAUUUGGGAUUUCAAAGCAGUUCUCUGUGAUAUUGAUGACCAUUCUGUUCCCCAUCCCUGAAUGUGUGUUAGUAAGCAUGGAGAUAUUUCUGAUCACCAGAAUGGCUUAAUAGGUUUGUUCUUCAUGGACUUUCUCUCCUUUAUGGUGACUGCUGAAUUUCCUCUGGUACCUACACUGUGACCCUGAAACCAGCACCUUUUUUAUGGUUGAUAAAUGCUUUUUAUAUGCUCUUGCAUUAAGUACAAAGGCCAAGGUAGUUCAUGUUUUUGAUACUCCCAUCCAGGGGCUGCGUAUUGGCGCUGAAGAAGCCCUGUGUGUGUUCUGAGCUAGAAGAAAAGCAGGGCCCUGCCUUCUGGUCCAGGUUGCCUGGAAAACUUAAUGAACAUUCACACGAAGUGAGAUGGAUGAAGCUGAUAGACCUCAGUUGGGGUCAGGUUUUACUGCCAAAUGAAUUCAGAUGGGCUCAGGUUUUGCCACGAAAUAUGAUCUGAGGUUUUUUUUUUUUUUUUUUUUUUUUUUUUUGAGAGUUUCAAACCUUGGAAAUGUAGAUUAGGAAUUAUGGACUCCUGGUAGGUAAAUAAAGAAGAGUAGCAAAGUAAAUGUCA